RNAcentral lists this ribosomal RNA (253 nucleotides) under uncultured bacterium. RNAcentral describes it as "partial 16S ribosomal RNA". It matches the Rfam family "Bacterial small subunit ribosomal RNA", at positions 524 to 776 of the family's 1533-position model. The record is from RNAcentral.
UACAGAGGUCCCAAGCGUUGUUCGGAUUCACUGGGCGUAAAGGGUGCGUAGGCGGUCGGGUAAGUCUGAUGUGAAAUCUCCAAGCCUAACUUGGAAACUGCAUUGGAUACUAUCCGGCUCGAGGAAUGGAGGGGAGACUGGAAUACUUGGUGUAGCAGUGAAAUGCGUAGAUAUCAAGUGGAACACCAGUGGCGAAGGCGGCUACCUGGACAAUUGCUGACGCUCAGGCACGAAAGCGUGGGGAGCAAAAGGG